Molecule: long non-coding RNA, 1154 nt
Filed under: Salvator merianae (Argentine black and white tegu)
Lineage: Eukaryota; Metazoa; Chordata; Lepidosauria; Squamata; Teiidae
Description: lncRNA (ENSSMRG00000013327.1)
Source: RNAcentral
UCACUUAGAGUUUUAGUUUAGUUUUAUUGAGACUUUCCCUGAGACCUUGGAGCAUAUGGUGGGAUGGGAGUACAAAUAAACAAACAAACCCAGCGUGAAUCUAAGCAGGCAGCCCUGUUGCUUAGCAGAAACAAACUCUGAGGCCACAGACCAGAAGUCCGCUUGUUCUGAAGCAGCGCCUGCUGCCCAAUCUUCCGCUCCUGCCCCAGUUUCAGUUUUAGUAAGCCUGUACAAACCAGCCUGGCAAGGUGCCCAACCCGCAGAUGCCUGAUGCCCGUUUGUUUGCGUGCAGGGCAUGGAAAGGAAGCCAAAGCCAGAGGUGGACUACGCCAGCAGAGAGCAAGGGAGCUGCGCUGGGAGCGACAAGAGCUUGGACAGAGUGAACGAUGGAGCAGGGGACAGACCAGGCAGAGGUUCCUUUCCGCACCCAAUUCUAAUGGCGGGAAUUGUCUUUUCCAGGGAGAGGGCGAUAAAGAUGGAAGGCUUGCUGAAGAAGGUGCUAGCAGAGAACCAGCAGCUGAAAAGUGCUGUCCUCUUCCUGAAGCAGCAGAGCAAAGGUCCAAAGAGAAACUUCUGUCAGAAAUCGGCUCCCUCUUGACAGAAAUUGCCUUUCUGAAGGAGGUACGAGAGCAGCUGAGGUACAAGGACCCAGAAUCCAGGAAGGAAACCACCAAGGCCCUUACGGAAACCAUCCAAGCCAAGCUGGAGGUGGCUCACGCGAAGAUCGAGGCGGCGGAGGCCAAGAAGGAGACCUUGGAGGCCCAGAGGAGGGCCGAGGAGGCCAAGGAGUCGGCGGAAGCCGCUCAAGCCCGGGAGGACAGCCUCUUGUCCUACGUCUCCAAAAUCGCCACCCUGGCCUACCAGCAGGCUGCCGAGGCCGAGUAUGACUGCGCCCAGGCCCGGAAGGCGAUGGCCGCGGCAGAGGCCAUCAACGUGGCUGCCUUCAGCGAUGCCCGAGGGCACCGCGGCCACAAGCUCCAGCACGAGAAGCACCACCGGAGCUCCCGGAGCAGCCACAGCGACUGCCGGUGUCACCACCACCACGGCCACCACCACGGCCACCACCACGAGCACCGCAGCCACUACGAGACCCAGAGCAACCAGGCCCACUCCGACCUGGAGACCCUGAGCAGCACCCGAUGAGGGCGGGAGGG